AUGAGGCCAGUCACUCAUCUCCUGGGCUUGCUGCUCUGGCUUACAGGUGCCAGAUGUGAAAUCCAGAUGACCCAGUCUCCAAUGUCCCUGUCUGCAUCUCUGGGAGACAGUGUCACCAUCACAUGCCGGGCAAGUCAGAACAUAUACAAUGUUUUAGCAUGGUAUCAGCAGAAACCAGGGAAAUCUCCCAAGCUCCUGAUCUAUGCUGCAAACAUUUUGGCUGAUGAGGUCCCAACAAGGUUCAGUGGCAGUGGAUUUUUCACACAGUAUUCUCUCAAGAUUGGUGGCCUGCAUGCAGAAGACGUUGCAACUUAUUACUGUCUACAAUUCAGGUCAAACCUAAAAAUUAUAGGGGUAGAAGGAGAAGAAGUACAGCUC
Molecule: non-coding RNA, 378 nt
Organism: Microtus ochrogaster (prairie vole)
Lineage: Eukaryota; Metazoa; Chordata; Mammalia; Rodentia; Cricetidae
Source: the annotation of a RefSeq genome assembly